Molecule: unclassified non-coding RNA, 316 nt
Filed under: uncultured Cantharellaceae
Lineage: Eukaryota; Fungi; Basidiomycota; Agaricomycetes; Cantharellales; Hydnaceae
Description: sequence contains ITS2
Source: RNAcentral
AACGCAAUUGCGCCCUCUCGGUCGCUUCCAAUUGGGGGUUGACUCAUAGGGGGUACAUCUGUUUGAGGGUCAUUUGUACCUUCUCAAAGGAUUUUUUUUAAAUAAAAAGAACCUUUGGAUGUGGGUCUUGCUGUGAUCAUCUCUCAGCUGACCUUGAAAGCAUUAGCAAGCUUUUUCUGAGUCUUUUCUAGAUGAGGCGUUCUAACAUUUGACGUCUUCACAAUAAAAAGAACCAGAGUGCUUAAGCCUGCUUCUAAUCAUACGGCCAUUAUUUUUCAAUGACCUCAAAUCAGAUGAGACUACCCGCUGAACUUAA